This is a long non-coding RNA of Prunus dulcis (almond), 1070 nucleotides long. RefSeq lists it as uncharacterized. The record is from RefSeq and is a predicted model, not a curated record. The transcript is spliced from 4 exons. NCBI's taxonomy places the organism in Eukaryota, Viridiplantae, Streptophyta, Magnoliopsida, Rosales, Rosaceae.
UCUCGUCUUUUUCUUUCGUUUUUGGGUUUUGCUCUCUGUCACUCACUCUCCCUUCCUCUUUUCUUUUUCUUUUUUUCAUUGAAGAAGAAAUUGUUUUCUUCCUUAGAGCUAUUGGAGUUAAAGGAAUCAUGUGGUAGUGAUUUUCGUAUCAGUUGGUUCAGAUUGACAGAGAGAUUCAAUUUGGGGGUUUUCUUUGCUCUUUUCAGUUGGGGUUGAUUCCCUAUUCUGAUGAGUAGUUCUGGAGAUAGUUCACAAGAAGGGCUCAAUGUUGACUUGGGGGAUGGUUCUGCAAGUGGUACUGGCAAUAAGACAAAGCAAGGUCGGGGUCAAGGGAUAUGCAACUGGUGUGUAAAUAACAUGAGAAAAAGUAUCAGACUCCAGCAAACUUGAUGUGUGGGACACUGUCGUGUUUCUUAUUCCUAAAAUUAUUGAAUACUUAGUGCAUGUAUGUGAGUUUAUUAGUUAUAUAUUUUAGAGUUGAUGUAAAACUACCUUAUUGUGGAUGCAGGGCACCAUUGAAUUUUGUCCCGAACAGCAGCCUUUGAUUCAUGUCUUCAAGGGUGUAUGUAUAAAUGAAGAAUAGUGUAAAAUUGUGGAGCAGUUUCAAGAGUGAUUUGAAGUAAGCUUACUAUAAACCUUUCGAAGGAAUUAAAAGACGGUGGCAAUGUGGGGAUUCUCGUGUAGACCCAGACCAGUUGCAGCUGUUGUUUGAACAUUAGGAAAAAGAAGAGACUGCAGUAGCAGGAACAAGCUAAAUGAAAUGCUGAAAAUUGGAGUAAACAAAUGUUGAAUCACACAUCUGGCACAAAGUCUUAUGCUCGAAGCAAAGCACAAUAUGUAAGUUUAUGAUGCACUUGAAUGUUUAUUCUUUUUUCUUGUUCAUUGUUCUUUAUGUUCUUUUAUUUGUUCAAGUAUAUGAAAAACAGAAACGUAGAGGUCCAGAAGAAUAAUAGUACAAACAGUGACUUGUAGGUCGUCAAUUGAGGUAUAUAAUGUGAUAUUAUUUCUUGAUUCGGAACUUCUCCCAGAAUGAUUGAGGAUGCCGCAAUUAAAGACUUCUUGUAAUUCUA